UACGUAGGGUGCAAGCGUUGUCCGGAAUUAUUGGGCGUAAAGAGCUCGUAGGCGGUUUGUUGCGUCGGCUGUGAAAACCUGGGGCUUAACUCCGGGCCUGCAGCCGAUACGGGCAGACUAGAGUUCGGCAGGGGAGACUGGAAUUCCUGGUGUAGCGGUGAAAUGCGCAGAUAUCAGGAGGAACACCGGUGGCGAAGGCGGGUCUCUGGGCCGAUACUGACGCUGAGGAGCGAAAGCGUGGGGAGCAAACAGG
RNAcentral lists this ribosomal RNA (253 nucleotides) under uncultured bacterium. RNAcentral describes it as "partial 16S ribosomal RNA". It matches the Rfam family "Bacterial small subunit ribosomal RNA", at positions 524 to 776 of the family's 1533-position model. The record is from RNAcentral.